GAGUCCUGAGUCACUUUCAUGAUGCUUAUGGGCAAAGGAAAGUAGUGAUAAGAAGCCAAAUGGGAGCAUGAUCUGAAGUUACCCUGAGGAAGUCACAUCUUGAGUGUUCCAAACAGCCUCAAGUAUUUAAGCAGACUAGUUUGGGAACUGGCACUGCAUAUAUAUUUUUAAACUUCAUUGAGUGUAUGUCUAAUGGCUGGUUUUUAUCUUCAGUGUUGCAUCUAGAAUCAAGUUUUAAUAAAUAAUACUGAAACUUCCUUAUAGUUUGAGAACUUGUGCUCUUUGAGCAACACCAAUAAAGUGAAGUUUUUCAGAAA
This is a long non-coding RNA of Sceloporus undulatus (fence lizard), 317 nucleotides long. RefSeq lists it as uncharacterized. NCBI's taxonomy places the organism in Eukaryota, Metazoa, Chordata, Lepidosauria, Squamata, Phrynosomatidae. The transcript has 2 exons. The record is from RefSeq and is a predicted model, not a curated record.